UCCAUAAUUCUGUGAUUACAGAUUGCUAUAAGUAAUAAAUAUUUAUAAUGCUUUUAUAUAGCAAUAAAAACAUCUUCUAAAUAGUCAUCUGUGUGCUGAUAUUAAGGCCCUGUGGCUUAUCCUGCCCAUAGAUACACUCCCACGCCUUCCAUGGUGCCUUGCAAAUUGUCUGGUAGAUAUACACUAGCUAUUAUGUGAGAUAUUCAGUAGACACAAGGUGACAGUGUUAUAUAUGGAGUGGUAAUUUGUGUCGAGAAAAUGGUUGAUAUUAAUAAAGAAGGGGGAGAUUUGGGAAUGUGGCCAUGGGGAUUGGAAAGCCCCGUGGUUGAGAUAACAUUAGACUCUUAACAAUGAGGCCAUCAGGAAUAUAAAAGAGUUUAGAGGGAACAAAGAAGGAGACUCCAUGAAGUCUCCAGUUUCUUGUUCUCCAGAUGGUCUCUUGUUCUCCAGCCGUUAAGGCAUGGAUGUUUCUGGGUGUUUGCUGUUGUUGUUACAUUCAAAGUUGUUUGACCAAUGAAAAGUUGUUUUGAAAAGAACUGCUGUGGAGACAAGGGUAUAAGAGGGGAGCCUGCCCUCAAGAUAAAAAAAGCAACACGAUGAAGUUACAUCAAUAAAGAAGCAGGAAAAAGAAGUGAAGAGGGACAGCCUGGCAGAAUGGAGACCAGGACGGAAACAGGCACUUUGAUUGCCUCAUGAAGAUGGGUUCGGCCAAACUCAGCAAACUGCUCAGAGAAGCUCGUACAGAAAGUCGCUGGAAAUAGGCGCACCGGAGCGGGAGAGAAGCUCGAGCUAAGAGAAGGGGACCUGUGCAUACAACUGCCUCUUGCUGGUCCCAUGCUGCACAGGAAACUCCAGAGCUGGAGAGAACGGAUGAGGAGAGAGAGCUCUUGCGAAUGCAUUCAUGCAGUAUCCCAUCUUGGACUACAUUUUUUCCAGAGUGGUGACAACCUGAGUCUGUGUUAGUAGCUCCAGUGACUGCAAAUAAACUCACACAUUAUUUUAUUUUUGUGAGAGAC
This 1016-nucleotide long non-coding RNA is filed under the name Anas platyrhynchos platyrhynchos (common mallard). RNAcentral's name for it is "lncRNA (ENSAPLG00000029717.1)". Lineage: Eukaryota; Metazoa; Chordata; Aves; Anseriformes; Anatidae. The record is from RNAcentral.